This 69-nucleotide transfer RNA is filed under the name human gut metagenome. The stretch from base 3 to 64 matches the Rfam family "tRNA", at positions 6 to 65 of the family's 71-position model. Rfam says of the family: Transfer RNA (tRNA) molecules are approximately 80 nucleotides in length. The record is from RNAcentral.
GUCAUAGCUCAGUUGGUAGAGCAGCUGACUCGUAAUCAGCAGGUCGCAAGUUCGAUUCUUGUUGUCGGC